UUGAUCCUGGCUCAGGAUGAACGCUGGCGGUGUGCCUUAGGCAUGCAAGUCGAACGGGAAUCCCGAACUUGUUCGGGAGGACAGUGGCAGACGGGUGAGUAACGCGUGGGAAUCUACCUUGUAGUGGGGAAUAGCCUGGCGAGGAGAGAGGGUAAUACCGCAUGUUUCCAAAUUUAUUUGGAAAAAGACUUCGGUCGCUAUAAGAGGAGCCCGCGUCCUAUCAGGUAGUUGGUGGGGUAAUAGCCUACCGAGCCAAUGACGGGUAGCCGGUGUGAGAGCACGACCGGCCACAAGGUCACUGAAACACGGGGCCUACACCUACGGGUGGCAGCAACCGGGAAUAUUGCGCAAUGGGCGAAAGCCUGACGCAGCGACACCGCGUGUGGGAAGAAGCUUUUCGGAGUGUAAACCACUGUGGCAAGGGAAGAAUUGUUGACGGUACCUUGCUAGAAAGCACCUGCUAACUACGUGCCAGAAGCCUCGGUCAUACGUAGGGUGCAAGCGUUAUCCGGAUUUAUUGGGCGUAAAGAGUUCCGCAGGCGUCUUUACAAGUUUCUUGUUUAAGCCUGAGGCUCAACUUCAGAAAAGCAAGAAAAACUGUAGAGAUUGAGUUGGUUUGGGGAAGCUGGAAUUCUCGGUGGAGGGGUGAAAUCCGUAGAUAUCGAGAGGAACACCAAUCGCGAAGGCAAGCUUCUAAAACAAUACUGACGCUAAGGGACGAAAGCUUGGGUAGCAAAAGGGAUUAGAGACCCCUGUAGUCCAAGCCGUAAACUUUCCUCGCUAGUUGCCUGGUUAAUAAUGCAU
Molecule: ribosomal RNA, 804 nt
Filed under: uncultured organism
Description: bacterial SSU rRNA
Rfam family: Bacterial small subunit ribosomal RNA
Source: RNAcentral